AUUGUGCUGUAUAGCAUAGAUGUUAGUAUGUCUUUUGCAAUGCCUGACUAAUGUACAUAGAUGAAAUAGCAUAAUAGUGCGUAAAUAUAGAUGCUUAGUACUCAUGAUGCCUGUAUAGUUGGAGCAUCAUUUUAGCGUUAGGGAUUGUUUUGAUGUACAUAGAUCCCAACUUUUGUAAAAAGACCUCGAAGAGGCAAAUUUUCACUAUAUGAUGAUAACCGGAGGGUCUUUAAUUUGUUCUUGAUAUCGAUGUUGCCUGUUUUGAUGUUAGUAUUGCUUAACUCGAUUGUUGAUGAUGCAUGACUUGAUGAGUGAUGAUAGAAUUAAGUGACCAAUAAAUGAGAACUAGGAGAUGACGAGAAAUUACAAUAAGGUAAGAGGCAAAAAGAGAGUUUAUGGUGGGAGAACUUAAGUGAGUGGGUAAAGUUUUAAUUGAUGAAUUACUAUAGAACUAUGGGUUAUACCUAGUAUUGCUUGGCGAUAGGGAGAGGAGAGUAAGAUGAGAUGAAAGCGCUACGUUUAUUGAGCUUUUGAGUUAUGUUUUGGAGAGACGAGAUCGCCGAUAUAUAUAUAUAUACAUAAGUUUGUAUCAGAAUGAGAUAUCUGCACCAGAGCGGAAGUCUUUCAAUGACGAUCUUUUUCGCUACUCUGGCUUGUGAUUCCUCUGCUCUGACAGAGAAAUCACCUUUUCCUCUGUUAACAUCACUGACAGAACUCGAAAGAAGAUUUCUAUAAUAAGGAAGGUGAUAAGGUAAGUUUCGUGAAAGAGUCUGUAAGGCACGUUGGUAAAAA
This 792-nucleotide long non-coding RNA is filed under the name Salvia miltiorrhiza (redroot sage). Its description in RNAcentral is "long non-coding RNA (SMIL_LNC009652)". Lineage: Eukaryota; Viridiplantae; Streptophyta; Magnoliopsida; Lamiales; Lamiaceae. The record is from RNAcentral.